UACGUAGGGUGCGAGCGUUAAUCGGAAUUACUGGGCGUAAAGCGUGCGUAGGCGGUUCGUUAAGUGCGUCGUGAAAGCCCCGGGCUCAACCUGGGAAUGGCGAUGGAAACUGGCGGGCUGGAGUAUGGCAGAGGGGGGUGGAAUUCCGCGUGUAGCAGUGAAAUGCGUAGAGAUGCGGAGGAACACCGAUGGCGAAGGCAGCCCCCUGGGCCAAUACUGACGCUGAGGCGCGAAAGCGUGGGGAGCAAACAGG
Molecule: ribosomal RNA, 253 nt
Filed under: uncultured bacterium
Lineage: Bacteria
Description: partial 16S ribosomal RNA
Rfam family: Bacterial small subunit ribosomal RNA
Source: RNAcentral